RNAcentral lists this ribosomal RNA (253 nucleotides) under uncultured bacterium. Its description in RNAcentral is "partial 16S ribosomal RNA". It matches the Rfam family "Bacterial small subunit ribosomal RNA", at positions 524 to 776 of the family's 1533-position model. The record is from RNAcentral.
UACGUAGGGGGCUAGCGUUGUCCGGAAUCAUUGGGCGUAAAGCGCGUGUAGGCGGCCCGGUAAGUCCGCUGUGAAAGUCGGGGGCUCAACCCUCGAAUGCCGGUGGAUACUGUCGGGCUCGAGUGCGGAAGAGGCGAGUGGAAUUCCUGGUGUAGCGGUGGAAUGCGCAGAUAUCAGGAGGAACACCAAUAGCGAAGGCAGCUCGCUGGGACGGUACUGACGCUAAGGCGCGAAAGCGUGGGGAGCGAACAGG